UACGUAGGGUGCAAGCGUUAAUCGGAAUUACUGGGCGUAAAGCGUGCGCAGGCGGUGAUGUAAGACAGAUGUGAAAUCCCCGGGCUCAACCUGGGAACUGCAUUUGUGACUGCAUCGCUGGAGUGCGGCAGAGGGGAUGGAAUUCCGCGUGUAGCAGUGAAAUGCGUAGAUAUGCGGAGGAACACCGAUGGCGAAGGCAAUCCCCUGGGCCUGCACUGACGCUCAUGCACGAAAGCGUGGGAGCAAACAGG
This 251-nucleotide ribosomal RNA is filed under the name uncultured bacterium. RNAcentral describes it as "partial 16S ribosomal RNA". It matches the Rfam family "Bacterial small subunit ribosomal RNA", at positions 524 to 776 of the family's 1533-position model. The record is from RNAcentral.